This is a non-coding RNA of Danio rerio (zebrafish), 171 nucleotides long. The record is from RefSeq and is a predicted model, not a curated record. NCBI's taxonomy places the organism in Eukaryota, Metazoa, Chordata, Actinopteri, Cypriniformes, Danionidae.
UUUUUUACCUAUCUUCAGGGAACAACUCUGCCUCAGAGUCUGUGGACCCCACUUCCGUGAACCCCAGCUCUGUGGAAGAAAAGAAUUUCUGUUUAGGUGGCAGCCCUGUGCAUCCUGCGGCAAGAAGUGGAGGAGCACAUGGGUGUCUGAGGAUGCUGUACAGUAGUGGUG